CCAAAGACAGCACUCCUUCUUCUCCUUGCUUCAAGAGUUCUAGCCCUUAAAACUCGACUAACCUCAUACCAGUCAGGUUUCUUCAAGAACCUGACUCCACCCUCUCAGAAUCUCCUCUGGACUUCUGAUUCUCCUUCUUUAAAACCCUCACAACCCUUGUUAGGACCACAUAAGGCUUUGUCUUAAAUCCCAAGCCUUAUCCUAAAACUAUGAUAGGUUGUAAG
Molecule: long non-coding RNA, 224 nt
Filed under: Elaeis guineensis (African oil palm)
Lineage: Eukaryota; Viridiplantae; Streptophyta; Magnoliopsida; Arecales; Arecaceae
Description: long non-coding RNA (EGUI_LNC009154)
Source: RNAcentral